Molecule: microRNA precursor, 209 nt
Organism: Oryza sativa Indica Group (long-grained rice)
Lineage: Eukaryota; Viridiplantae; Streptophyta; Magnoliopsida; Poales; Poaceae
Rfam family: MIR812 microRNA precursor family
Source: Rfam
AAUAAGUGCAGUCUUGCACUAUUUAUGUUCAACGUUUGACCGUCCGUCUUAUUUGAAAAUUUUUUAUGAUUAGUAUUUUUAUUGCUAUUAGAUGAUAAAACAUGAAUAGCACUUUAUGUGUGACUAAAUGUUUUUAAUUUUUUCACAAAUUUUUCAAAUAAGACGGACGGUCAAACGUUGAACGUGAAUAGUGCAAAACUGCACUUAUU